Non-coding RNA from Dunaliella salina, 73 nucleotides. Lineage: Eukaryota; Viridiplantae; Chlorophyta; Chlorophyceae; Chlamydomonadales; Dunaliellaceae. The record is from the annotation of a GenBank genome assembly.
GCACCUGUGGUCUAGUGGUUAUGAUUUCUCGCUUACACCGAGAAGGUCCCUGGUUCGAACCCAGGCAGGUGCA